Molecule: ribosomal RNA, 497 nt
Filed under: uncultured bacterium
Lineage: Bacteria
Description: partial 16S ribosomal RNA
Rfam family: Bacterial small subunit ribosomal RNA
Source: RNAcentral
GAUGAACGCUGGCGGCGUGCCUAAUACAUGCAAGUCGAGCGAACGGACGAGAAGCUUGCUUCUCUGAUGUUAGCGGCGGACGGGUGAGUAACACGUGGAUAACCUACCUAUAAGACUGGGAUAACUUCGGGAAACCGGAGCUAAUACCGGAUAAUAUUUUGAACCGCAUGGUUCAAAAGUGAAAGACGGUCUUGCUGUCACUUCUAGAUGGAUCCGGGCUGCAUUAGCUAGUUGGUAAGGUAACGGGUUACCAAGGCAACGAUGCAUAGCCGACCUGAGAGGGUGAUCGGCCACACUGGAACUGAGCCGCGGUCAAGACUCCUGCGGGAGGCAGCAGUAGGGAAUCUGCCGCAAUGGGGGAAAGCCUGACGGAGCAACGCCGCGUGAGUGAUGAAGGUCUUCGGAUCGUAAAGCUCUGUUAUUAGGGAAGAACAUAUGUGUAAGGAGCUGUGGACAUCGUGACGGUACCUAAUAAGAAAGCCACGGCUAACUACGUG